Molecule: non-coding RNA, 621 nt
Organism: Paramisgurnus dabryanus
Lineage: Eukaryota; Metazoa; Chordata; Actinopteri; Cypriniformes; Cobitidae
Source: RefSeq, a predicted model, not a curated record
AGCAAGCUCUCGGACUACAUCUAAAAUAUCUAAAUGGUUACUAAAAUUGAGGUCAGAUUUUUGAAAACGUGGUCAUCCAAAGUUCUCGGUACAGAAAAUCUGUUUUGUAUGGAUCAGAGUUAGACAUGGUCAUGUAAUAUAUAACAAUGUAAUAGCAAGUGUUAUGUUGUUUUUGAAAAUGCUCUGAAAAUGAAAAAAGCUUUGUUUAUCCACUAUGCUAUCAAAUGCUCUUUUACCUUGCAUGUUAGGCGGAUCAACAUUCCAUCCAUCUGCAUUAGGAUCUACCUUAGAGACACUCACUGGAGCUGUAAAUGGGAAGCAGGUCACUUACUUUGCAUUCGUCCUUGGUGGUCACCCAAGGGUCUCUAGAGUGAAAAUUACUCAAUCUAUGGAUUAAACAGAAAAUUUAGUUGUAUGAAGUGCAAUUUGGGACAUUCUUCCAGUUGUCGGCAACUUUGUGAAAAAGGCUGGAAACUUAAAUGCAGAAUUCUGGCCUGGUGUUUGGUCUGUGCUGUCUUUGGCUCUUGCAUCUCCAUCAUCCUGACCCUCUUUAGCAGCCUGUCCAUGUAUUUAUUUGGAGGCCACCAUGAGCACCCAUCUGCAUAAUAUGACUUUGUUACU